GCCUUGCCCGCCGGGCGCCGGUUCGGGGGCCGGUCGGGCUGGCGGCGAAGGGGGUGCUUGCAGCCCGCGCGCCUGGGCGGGCGGUCUCCCCAGGCCUCCCCUCCGUCAGGCCCGCGGGACGAGAAAGUUCCAAGCAAAGCACCCGCUCUUAAUGGCGGCUGCGGCGGGGGCGGGGUACGCACCUGAGGUCCCCGCCGGCGGGCAGUGCCCGGCCGGCCGCGGGGUCCGAGGGCUGAGCCACCUGGGAGUGGCCCGGGGGCCGAGGGCGGCGGCCGCGACCGCGAAGAGGCGAGGGCGCGGCGUGUGGGCGGCGGCCGAAGCCCUGCUCUCCACUAUCCCUUCUUUUUCUUUCUUUUCCUUUUUUUUUUUUUUUUUUGGCUUCCUGGAAGGCAGCCUAGACUCGUGUGUCCGCAGCGCCCCAAGUGGGAGUUGCCGUUUCCGGUGCCGUGGAAUAGUUCAGCUUCACAGUGAGCUUGUUGGAAGUCCCUUAGUCCCGCUCUGUUCAAGGCCAGACGUGCUCGUCCAUCUUCAGCCUUAGAUGAGUGGCUGCACGUGUCUGGUCUCACCCCUGACACCGCCCCCGAACGAGGACUACUUUCUUGCUGUUCUUUAAUUUGAUAGUUUCGCAUGAUUGCAGUUUGUACCUUUAAAGCGGUGAGGUCACAGCUCCAGUGACCGGUGAAUCUGCCUUAAAGCCAAUGAGUUGUUUGUUAUAUUACUGUAACAACGUGUCCUCACCUUUUGAUGGGGGUCAGUGACAUAACCAACCAAUCAUGAGCUGUCCCUCAGAUGGUGAUGGCACUCCAGCAAGUAGUCGAAUAUUACUAUAGUGUUGUUUAAGCAAAGUUACAGCUACAUAUUUUAUAUAUGCCAAAAGGAGAAUAGAAUAAUAGAAACCAUUUACCCAUUGCUCCAAUUAAACAUAGCUGCCUUGUUUCUCGUUUUAAAGGAAUAUUCAGACGCAAUUGAAGGCAGCGUUCUCAUUCUUUACUGUCUUGAAGUUAUGUUCUAAUACACAUUUUCUUUUGCAAAAAGACAAGUGUCACGAUUCGCUGACAUUUUUUUCUGUAAGUGGCUCACAAAGAUAUGCUUCCUAGCAGAAGCUGCUAAAAAAGAUGUUAUUUCAAGGUAAAGAUAACCAUCCAGCAGUUAGUUGAGAUGGUACCUGCUUUUUUUGACAUCAUUUUUAAAAGAGAUGUUUGAAAAUAUUUCCAUUAUGUUAUAGUUGAUUCCUUCUGUUUGGAAGAGUUAUGGUGUAUAAAUUCUUAGCAAACACUGAGCAAAACUGAAUACUGCUCCUAGGAGAAAUACAGGAUUAGGUUUCUGCCAGCCUCUUCACAUUUUGGUAAAACUAUCAAUACAUAACCUUGUUUUAUGUGUGUAUCUGUUUAAAGACACCUUAUUUAAUGUAUAUUGUUGAUUCAUUAGUUGAACUUAUGGCCAACAGCGCUGUAACUGUUGUGUGAAGGAAGCUUAGCUAACACAAGUAUUUUCUACGUAAGGCACAUCGCUGCCUUGUGCUUGGGAAUACUAGACAAUGCUAUGUUUGAGGACCAUUUUAAACAGCAAAAUCAUCAAAAAAAAAGAAAAAAAGAAGAAAAAACCCCCCAAAUGUGGGAAGUGUAGCAUUAUAUAGACCAGGAAAAGGACACUUGUUUACAGUGGGAGACUGGUGUCACCUUGCUCUACCUCAGCUGGGAACGUGCGCGGCAGGCAAAACAACUUUUUUUGCCACUCUACUGUGUCUGCUAAUCGGUGAAAGCAGAGGAUACAUAAUCAAAAUAAUUUGGAGACUACUGCCCUAGAAAGCUGGAAGAUCCCUUUUCUCAGAAAACUGAAAGAAGAAUUUACCCAGAAGCAGCGAGCUGAAUUCAUCAAGCAGAUGGCUGAAACCAAUGGUCCUAUGGUGUCCGUGUCAGCUCAGACCCUCUCUCCAGCUCUUGGGAGAUCUGAUUCUCGUUCCUCCAGUGGAUGGUAACUCUGGUUGCAUGCAUGUAUGGGCCCUGUGAGCUCCUUUCUGUGUCUGAGGCAUCUGUGGAGUUUUUGGUAGAAAUUUUAAAAUGCCUGGCGUGCACGUGGGACAAGAAGCUUGAAGAGAGUCAGAGCUUGCGUGGAACUGCUCGUCCUCCCAUGUCAGAGACGUCAGACUAAGGACAAGAGGGGUGACCGAGGACCCUGGGUGCACCUGCUCCCGUACAUAUCUGUAGAGUCACAAAUUCAGAGAUAUUUUCCCUAAUAAAAUCCUUGCCUAUCUAAUCCCACGGAGGCCUUGCGGAAUUAAAGAACCUCAGCUAAAAUUGGAGUCAGGACAGGACUGUAGGGGAGCGCACCAUGUGUCUUCAAUUACUCCAAACAGGAAGAGACAAAUGCCCACAUCUGGGACAGGAAGAUGCCUCUACCCAACCAAUGAGAAGCCACUAUACUUUGGACUCCCAGCUUCCUCCAGUGGACUCUUUGGUUAUCACAGCCCCUCCCAAUUACCCACUUUUCCAUAUAAAAGCAAGUUCCCUUUCGUUGUUCUCCGGAUUUGCCUGUGGUCUGUCAUAGUUUGUACUUCUCAA
Molecule: long non-coding RNA, 2561 nt
Organism: Balaenoptera ricei (Rice's whale)
Lineage: Eukaryota; Metazoa; Chordata; Mammalia; Artiodactyla; Balaenopteridae
Exons: 5
Source: RefSeq, a predicted model, not a curated record